GACGUAGGGCGCGAGCGUUGUCCGGAUUUAUUGGGCGUAAAGAGCGUGUAGGCGGCCAGACAGGUCAGCUGUGAAAACUCGAGGCUCAACCUCGAGACGUCGGUUGAAACCGUCUGGCUAGAGUCCGGAAGAGGAGAGUGGAAUUCCCGGUGUAGCGGUGAAAUGCGCAGAUAUCGGGAAGAACACCCGUGGCGAAGGCGGCUCUCUGGGACGGUACUGACGCUGAGACGCGAAAGCGUGGGGAGCAAACAGG
RNAcentral lists this ribosomal RNA (253 nucleotides) under uncultured bacterium. Its description in RNAcentral is "partial 16S ribosomal RNA". It matches the Rfam family "Bacterial small subunit ribosomal RNA", at positions 524 to 776 of the family's 1533-position model. The record is from RNAcentral.